RNAcentral lists this ribosomal RNA (464 nucleotides) under Vreelandella stevensii. Its description in RNAcentral is "partial 16S ribosomal RNA". It matches the Rfam family "Bacterial small subunit ribosomal RNA", at positions 338 to 795 of the family's 1533-position model. The record is from RNAcentral. Lineage: Bacteria; Pseudomonadati; Pseudomonadota; Gammaproteobacteria; Oceanospirillales; Halomonadaceae.
CCUACGGGUGGCUUCAGUGGGGAAUAUUGGACAAUGGGCGAAAGCCUGAUCCAGCCAUGCCGCGUGUGUGAAGAAGGCCUUCGGGUUGUAAAGCACUUUCAGUGGGGAAGAAAGCCUUGGGGCUAAUACCCUCGAGGAAGGACAUCACCCACAGAAGAAGCACCGGCUAACUCCGUGCCAGCAGCCGCGGUAAUACGGAGGGUGCGAGCGUUAAUCGGAAUUACUGGGCGUAAAGCGCGCGUAGGCGGUCUGAUAAGCCGGUUGUGAAAGCCCCGGGCUCAACCUGGGAACGGCAUCCGGAACUGUCAGGCUAGAGUGCAGGAGAGGAAGGUAGAAUUCCCGGUGUAGCGGUGAAAUGCGUAGAGAUCGGGAGGAAUACCAGUGGCGAAGGCGGCCUUCCGGACUGACACUGACGCUGAGGUGCGAAAGCGUGGGUAGCAAACAGGAUUAGAUACCCUGUAGUC